ACAGUCUCAGUUCGGAUUGAAGGCUGAAAUUCGCCUUCAUGAAGCCGGAAUUGCUAGUAAUGGCAGGUCAGCAUACUGCCGUGAAUACGUUCCCGGGCCUUGUACACACCGCCCGUCACACCAUGAGAGUCGGGGAUACCCGAAGCCUGUGAGCUAACAGUAAUGAAGCAGCAGUCGAAGGUAGAAUCAAUGAUUGGGGUGAAGUCGUAACAAGGUAAC
Molecule: ribosomal RNA, 219 nt
Filed under: uncultured bacterium
Lineage: Bacteria
Description: partial 16S ribosomal RNA
Rfam family: Bacterial small subunit ribosomal RNA
Source: RNAcentral